Molecule: long non-coding RNA, 654 nt
Filed under: Oryza sativa aus subgroup
Lineage: Eukaryota; Viridiplantae; Streptophyta; Magnoliopsida; Poales; Poaceae
Description: lncRNA OsNaBo_02g0010920
Source: RNAcentral
UUCUGUAAUAACCUUGCAGGCACUCUUUCCUGCAAACGGGCCUUUCGAGUUGCAUUUCUCCGUAAGAUCCGCAUCAUAUUACCAGCAAAACGUGAAGCAUAUAGCGCCGCACCAAGACUGAGCGAACUUGAACCAUCACUGACAAUUGCCGCUUGCAACCUCUUCUCCUUCUCAAACAAAGUAUCCUCCAGUUUCUUUCUGCAGUAUCUAUGCCAAGCUGCCUGUAUAAAACAAGCUGCCCAGAAUCUAAAUGUAUGCUGGAGUUGUUUGCUGUGGAGUCUCCUGAAUUGGGUGGCUACAAACUUCAAGUCAUCAGCCCUCAAAGCAAAAGCUUCGACUUCAGACAGCGUUUUCACAGUCCUGGUUGAGCUGGGAAGGUUUGAAGCUGAAGUAGGGUCAAGUGCCCAUGUGAGAAGCUCUUCACCACAAAAAUCUCCACCUUUGAUAAUAUUGGAGUUGAAAAAGCCAGUCUGUCCACCAUUUGUCGUCAUACUCUCAAGAUUUCCUCUCAUGAUGAAGAGCAUUUCAUUCACUGGGUCUCCUUCGCGAAUGAUGCAGCUGCCUUCUGUGUACAGCAUGGGCUUUAGACGAUCACACAUGGCAUCCAAGAGCUUCUCAUCCAUGUUUUCAAACAUUGGAACCUGCAAAUGGUGA